UACGAAGGGGGCUAGCGUUGCUCGGAAUCACUGGGCGUAAAGCGCACGUAGGCGGCUUCUUUAGUCAGGGGUGAAAUCCUGGAGCUCAACUCCAGAACUGCCUUUGAUACUGAGGAGCUUGAGUCCGGGAGAGGUGAGUGGAACUGCGAGUGUAGAGGUGAAAUUCGUAGAUAUUCGCAAGAACACCAGUGGCGAAGGCGGCUCACUGGCCCGGUACUGACGCUGAGGUGCGAAAGCGUGGGGAGCAAACAGG
RNAcentral lists this ribosomal RNA (253 nucleotides) under uncultured bacterium. RNAcentral describes it as "partial 16S ribosomal RNA". It matches the Rfam family "Bacterial small subunit ribosomal RNA", at positions 524 to 776 of the family's 1533-position model. The record is from RNAcentral.